CCCUUAGAUGUUCUGGGCCGCACGCGCGCUACACUGGUGCGUUCAACAAGUUUACAACCUUGAUUGACAAGUCUGGGUAAUCUUUUGAAUGCGCACCGUGCUAGGGAUAGAUUAUUGCAAUUAUUAAUCUUGAACGAGGAAUUCCUAGUAAACGCAAGUCAUCAGCUUGCAUUGAUUACGUCCCUGCCCUUUGUACACACCGCCCGUCGCACCUACCGAUUGAAUGGUCCGGUGAAAUCUCGGGACGGCGGCUUGGUCGCUUGCGUCCGACUGCUGAAACUUGAUUAAACCAUAUCAUUUAGAGGAAGGUGAANUCGUAACA
RNAcentral lists this ribosomal RNA (322 nucleotides) under uncultured eukaryote. RNAcentral describes it as "partial 18S ribosomal RNA". It matches the Rfam family "Eukaryotic small subunit ribosomal RNA", at positions 1470 to 1796 of the family's 1831-position model. The record is from RNAcentral.